RNAcentral lists this long non-coding RNA (6199 nucleotides) under Triticum aestivum (bread wheat). Its description in RNAcentral is "long non-coding RNA (TAES_LNC008569)". The record is from RNAcentral. Lineage: Eukaryota; Viridiplantae; Streptophyta; Magnoliopsida; Poales; Poaceae.
GGAUAUUUACUUGGCCAGGCCUAGAAGAGCAGGAAUACGAAGAAGAGUUCUUUGGUGACGAACAUGCGAACUAGGACGCUUUCCCAGUCGGAAUGCCUGUAGGGUUAAGGCAGAUAGCAUGGGUCCAAGUUAUCGUUGAGGAUUUCUGUUGCUCUGUUUCAUUUGCUGUUUAGCCCAGAGGCUCUGUCUAUGUAGGACUUGACCAUAAUGGUCCUAUUUGUGUAAUACCUUAUGUAAUGGAUGUAAACUCUUGAUAUUCAGCAUGUGGUGAGCAUUGAUCCUUGGGAUCACUGUGCACGCGCAAUCGGUCCCUUCGACUAUAUAAGUCGGGAUCCCCACAUCCAAGGAAGGCAACGAGGUAGCGGCAGGACCGGCAGCCGGUCGUCGGGAGGCGCGCCGGCGAGAGGUAGUGGCGGGGGCGAGGGAGAGGCAUUGGCUUUUACUCUACGCCCGAGCUACUGAGUAUAUUUUGUUGGGAAACGUAGCAUGCAAUUUCAAAAAAAAAUCCUACGCUGACGCAAGAUCUAUCUAGGAGAUGCAUAGCAACGAGGGGGGGAGUGUGUCUACGUUUAUUUGUGUAGGUGCAACCAUUGGUGACUUGUGUGUUCCUCCUACCGGAUUGAUACCUUGGUUCUCAAUUGAGGGAAAUACUUAUCUCUACUUUGCUGCAUCACCCUUUCCUCCUCAAGGGAAAAACCAGCACAAGCUCCGGAGGCGUCGGUCGUCGCGAGGAAGAAGAAGAAGAGGCAGAGGCAGGGGUAAAAGGUGAAAAGGAGGGCCAUGUCCCUAUUUAUAAGUAGGUGAUAAGAUGGCAUGCGCGGAGAUCGAGGAGGCAAAAUGAUUAUAUUAACCACACGGGUGCCUCGAUUUUCGGGAAGCCCAUUAAGAUAAAGAUCCAUUGAGAUAUCAUGGGUCUUGUGCGAAAUUAAUGCACAUGAUGUCAUGGCAAGUUGUAAUGAUUCUGUUAUAUGAUGACAUGGCGGGUUAUAGCGGUUUGCAUAACCUUCGGCACUGAUGCAGUCUGAUAAGUUAAAAUAGUAAAGAUUGAUGUGAACAAGUUCAAAUCAACCUGGGCCUAAUGUUGGGGAUAUAGCUCUGGGGUGUGACUCGCCCAGGAGGGGCAGGGUCACACCAUUGGCGGUAUAAUAUGAAGAAGGUCCAAGGAGGCCCAAGGGGAAGUAUGAAGAUGGCGGCUCUUGUAAGCAGGCCUGGUGAAGGCCCAAGACCUGGUCCUAUGAACCGCCUUAUGAAGACUUGAUCUGUAAGGCAUGACUAGUUAGAAACCGAGCCGAUCACGUUGUGUGACCCGGCCGGGACUCUGUAAGCCUCCGGGUCUCUACUGUGUAUAUAAAGGUGACACCCGGCAGCGAGUUAACUCGAGAGACAAUCAAUCGAGAACUAGGUCAAGCGUAUUCGCUCCCUUGUAAUCAAGACUCAAGCAAUACAACUAAAAGCAGGACGUAGGCUUUUACUCCUUGCGAGGGGCCGAACCUGGGUAAACUCCUUGUGUCCUUUGUCCCGUUCAACCCCUUCAAGCUAACCUAGUUGCGAUGGCUCCACACCUAAGUCCUUUAACCAGGGCAUCUGCCGUGACAAAUCCACGACAUAGGGCUUCAACAUCAACCUUGCUGCCCUUCCGAUGAUGUGUGAGUAGUUUACCAUAGACCUACGGGUCCAUAGCUAGUAGCUAGAUGGCUUCUUCUCUCUCUUUGAUCUUCAAUACAAUGUUCUUGGAGAUCUAUUCGAUGUAAUCUUCUUUUGUGGUGUGUUUGUUGUGAUCCGAUGAAUUGUGGAUUUAUGAUCAAAUUAUCUAUGAAUAUUAUUUGAGUCUUCUCUGAACUCUUUUAUGCAUGAUUAAGAUAGCCUUGUAUUUCUCUCCGAUCUAUUGAUUUGGUUUGGCCAACUAGAUUGAUUUUUCUUUCCAUGGGAGAGGUGCUUUGUAAUGGAUUCAGUCUUCCGGUGCUCAUACCCAGUGACCUAAGGGGACAUGAGACGUAUUUGUAUUGUUGCCAUUAAGGAUAAAAAGGUGGGGUUUAUUCAUAUUAAUUGGAUCUGUCCCUCUACAUCAUGUCAUCUUGUUUAAGGCUUUACUCCGUUCUUUAUGAACUUAAUACACUUGAUGCAUGUUGGAUAGUGGUCGAUGUGUGGAGUAAUAGUAGUAGAUGCAGGUAGGAGUCGGUCUACUUGUCACGGUCUGAUGCCUAUAUUCAUGAUCAUUGCCUUAGAUAUCGUCAUAACUUUGUGCUUUUCUAUCAAUUGCUCAACAGUAAUUUUUUUACCCACCGUAUGCGUUCUUUCAAGAGAGAAGCCUCUAGUGAAAACUAUGGCCCCCAGAUCUGUCUUUUAUCAUAUUAUUUUCAGAUCUACAAAACCAAAAAUCCAAAAGUACCUUGCGGAUAUUUAUUUACCUUUACUUUCUUUUGUACUUUUAUUUAUCUUUUAUAUACCCUAUCUCUAUCAGAUCUCAUCCUUGCAAGUAACCGUGAAGGGAUUGACAACCCCUUUCUCGCGUUGGGUGCAAGUAUUUGUUUAUUUGUGUAGGUGCAACCAUUGGUGACUUGUGUGUUCCUCCUACUGGAUUGAUACCUUGGUUCUCAAUUGAGGGAAAUACUUAUCUCUACUUUGCUGCAUCACCAUUUCCUCUUCAAGGGAAAAACCAGCGCAAGCUCAAGAAUUAGCGAGAAGAAUUUCUGGCGCCGUUGUCAAGGAGGAUCUACAUCAAGCCUACCAAGUACCCAUCAUAAACUCUAAUCUCUUGCAUUUACAUUAUUCACCAUUUGCCUCUCAUUUUCCUCUCCCCCACUUCUAAAAUGUUUUAUCGAAAACACAAAAAUGGUUUACUUUGUUGCUUUGCUUGCUUGUUUGGUACAAUUGCAUGUUUAUUGGAAAUAAAAAAAGCUAAUGGAUCCUCAUCCACUUGCUAAUCUUUUUAAAAGAUCCAAUUAUGAUGAACCAAUUGCUAGUGAGUUGAGUGCACUAGAUUGUCUUUAUGAAGUUUUGCUUGAAAUUAGUGAAUCUCAAAAUUGUGAUGAAGUGCUAAAGAAGAAAUUUAUGAAGUGAUUCAUGAUAGCUCCUUGAAUGAAAAGCAUGAUUGCAAUGAUGUUAUUAUAAAUUCUAUUAAUGUCAAUUGUGUUAAAGAUAUGCAAAACCCCAAGCUUGGGGAUGCUAAUUUUGCUAUGUCCACUAUUUAUUGUAAUGAUCAUGAUUGGGGUCAUGCAUCGUAUGAUCUUGAAAAUUUGUUUAAGACUCAUGAUGAAUAUGUUUGCAAUAAUAUUGAAAGUGGGUUUGAAAGAGUGUCAACAUUAGCUAAAAAUAAACCACAUAUUUGGAGAGUGUUCAAUCUUAUGAAUUUUUUGAUGAAAGUGGGUUUGGAGAGGUCAUGACUUUAGUUGAUGUCUGUAACAUCCCAAAAUUCUAAAUUUUGGAAUGUUAUAUUAAAUAAAUUAUAUGAUUGUUUGUUUGAUUGAUUGACUGAAAGUGAGUGCAAUUUGAAACUUUUGAAAGUUGAAUGAGAGGGAAUAAAAGGACUUUCCCAAAACUUUCAUCUUUGCAAUUUGAUGUCCAUGAAUUCAAAUUCAUUUCAACACAAAACCCUAGAGUGAAGAUGACAUGACUUCUUCCAUUUGAAUUACAAAGGGUUUUCAAAAAGAUUUGAAUUCCAUUUGGAAAUAUUUCAAAUUCUAAAACUUUAUGCAGCUCAAUGAUUUUCAUGAGAGAAGACAAAAUGACUUCUUCAAUUAUAUGAAAUAUGAGUUGGAAGUUAAAAAAGAAUCAAAUUGAAAGUCAUCUGAAAGUAUUUUGAAACUCCCUUUCAAAUUUGGAAUUAUUUGGAUUUUAUUCAAAAUUAUUUUUCUCCUAAAAAUAAAUAAAUGGAAAUAAGGGUAAAAUGAUUCCCUUCAAUGGAAAAUUAGGAGAAAAUAAUUUUGAAAUUUUUUUGGUAUUUUAAAAAUGAUUUUUGUUGAGUUUUAUUGCAAUAGUAGCACUGUUUGCCUUUUUACCUUUUUGUGUAUUUUAUUUGAACCUGGAAAAUAGUUCAUGUUUUAGGAAAUGUUUUUCUGAAAAUUUUGAUAUAUUAUGUGUCCUAUAUAUUGUUUUUCUCUAUAUCUUAUUUUCUCCCAUCUUAUUCCAAAAAAAGGAAAACCUAGCGCUAGCCAGGCCAGGCGGCCCAGGAGCCAGCCAGCCAGCCACUCGAGCCGCGGCCCAGCCAGCGCCGUCGCCCGAAGCCCCUCUCCUUCGGUCGCCCGCUCCUCUCUCUCUCGCCCUUGUGCCACUGACCGCUGGGCCCCACUGCCCGAUCGCCCACGCCCGCUGCUUCUUCUUCCUCUCCACGACAAACCGCGCCGCCGCCGCCGCCGCCGAAUCCCGCGUUCCUCAGGAUCCUCUCCCCGAUCUCCCCCCUCCUCCAAGUCGACCCCGCCCCUAUAAAUACCCCUCCCCUCACCCCGUUCCGCCCCUUCCCGACUCCCGAACCCCUCUCCGCUCGCCGCCAUUUCUCGCCGGAGCCCGAGCUCCGCCGCCCGCCAUUGCUGCUGCUGCGCCCGACCCCGACCACCUCAUCGUCGCCUGAAACCACCAUCGAACUCCACUCACCUUCCCGCAUCGCCUGAGAUGCUCCUCCGUCGCCAAAGACCCCUGGAGCUGUCGCACCCUUCAACCACCGAACGCCACCCGCCGCUAUCGAUCUCGCUCCGCUCGAGUCCGUCUUUCCUGAGCUCACUGCCGACUACCAUCGUCAUCGCCGUCGUCUUCUGCAUCUCCUGGAGCAGCCUACACCGCCGGAGGACCACCGGAGGCCUCACCAGCAACGCCGCCCGAGCGCCACCACCGUCGACACCGUCGCCGGAGUUCCUCACCACCGCGGUGAGUUUCUCCUCCCUCCGAUCUAAUUUCAACGGCCCAGAUUACUUUACGCGAACAGUUAGGUUUUAUUUUAUUAGGCGGUUUUUGUGCGGUUUAUUUACGGUUUAGCUUGGUUCAGGUCGAACAGAGCCCCUCUUGUUUUUUUAGUCGCACACUCCCGUUCUGUUAAAAAUCGGCCAAGCGCCGUUUAUCUUCGGAUCGCCCACACUCUGGCCCGAUAGCAGUAGGCCACGUAGCUAGUGACCGAUUGUUUUUUUUUGUUUUGAUUUUCGUUUCUACUUUAAAAAAAACAGAAUAGUUCUGAUUUUAUAUUGCUUAUAACUUUUAUGUUUUAGAUCCGAAUUUAGUGUUUCUUUUUGCAUUAGUUUUAUAAUUUCUUGAAGUUUCUGCUAGUGCAAUUGGAUUCCAUAUUUGAGUUGUUUAAAAUUGAAUUUGAUGAAAUUUGUUCAAAUCACUAAUUUGCUCGUAUCUUGAGUUCUAUAAAAUAUUUUUGAUUGAUUCUUUUUGCUACUGUUUUGUUAUAGUUUUGUCUAUCCAGUAGCAUAUAGUGAUUUAUUUUUAGUUUAAUUUAAAUUAGGGUUUUAGGCAAAACAGUACUGUUUUCGAUGUAGUUUUGUUUUGUUUGUAACUUAGUGAGUUUUAUUUAGAUUUAAUUAGUUCUUUUUGCAAAGUUUUGUUCAAUGUAAUAUACUUCUGUUAGAAUUCAGUAGAUAAUUUUAGAAAUUAUUUUUAUUAGUUUUGCUACUGUUUAGGAUUUCAGUUUAGCAGAGUUAGUGUAUAGUGUAUGUAAUAGCUAGUAUUGUAGUUAUUUUGCUAGAAAUUAUUUUAGAUAAUUUCUUUCUGUUGUUUUGAUGAAAAUAGAUUUUAUUUUCUGUUAAGUAAUUUCUUAGAUUAAUUUAGUGUGGUUAUGAAAGUUAUUGGUUGAUAUUGUGUGUGUUGGUUUUCCCUAGUUUUCCUUAAAGUUUUCUUUGGAUACUUUUUGGCCUUCUUUGAUUUCAUUAUUGUUUUAUUUAUCUAUUUUAUUUAGUUGAGUGUUAUUUUGAUUGAUAGUAUUGAUUGCUAGGACUGAUUGCUUAUGUGAAUACUACGUUUGAUUAUAUAGAUUUCAACGGACUGACGAAUAGUUCUACCAAGUCAUUAUUCUGAGAGUGUUGUUAUCUUCAUCAAGUAAUACCAGGCAAGUUCACUUUGACCAUGUUUUUCAUACCUAUGUUUUUAUUGCAUCUAGUGUCAUCUUCGCAACAAUCCCUCCAGUAGUGAUAUUGAAUCCUUGUAGUUGAGUAGUAUGCAUGAGGUAGGAACCCAUCACCCUGUUACCAAGCCCGGGACGUUAUUUAUU